ACUCCUACGGGAGGCAGCAGUGGGGAAUCUUGCGCAAUGCGCGAAAGCGUGACGCAGCAACGCCGCGUGGGGGAAGACGGCCUUCGGGUUGUAAACCCCUUUCAGGAGGGACGAAGGUCGGGCGGUGAAUAGCCGUUCCGACUGACGGUACCUCCACAAGAAGCCCCGGCUAACUACGUGCCAGCAGCCGCGGUAAUACGUAGGGGCUAGCGUUGUCCGGAAUCAUUGGGCGUAAAGAGCGUGUAGGCGGUCCGGUAAGUCCGUUGUGAAAGUCAGGGGCUCAACCCUUGAAUGCCGGCGGAUACUGUCGGGCUAGAGUCCGGAAGAGGCGAGUGGAAUUCCCGGUGUAGCGGUGAAAUGCGCAGAUAUCGGGAGGAACACCUAUGGCGAAGGCAGCUCGCUGGGACGGCACUGACGCUGAGACGCGAAAGCGUGGGGAGCAAACAGGAUUAGAUACCCUGGUAGCUACGAGU
This 473-nucleotide ribosomal RNA is filed under the name uncultured bacterium. Its description in RNAcentral is "bacterial SSU rRNA". It matches the Rfam family "Bacterial small subunit ribosomal RNA", at positions 335 to 802 of the family's 1533-position model. The record is from RNAcentral.